This 300-nucleotide ribosomal RNA is filed under the name uncultured Comamonadaceae bacterium. RNAcentral's name for it is "bacterial SSU rRNA". It matches the Rfam family "Bacterial small subunit ribosomal RNA", at positions 114 to 417 of the family's 1533-position model. The record is from RNAcentral. Lineage: Bacteria; Pseudomonadati; Pseudomonadota; Betaproteobacteria; Burkholderiales; Comamonadaceae.
UAUAUCGGAACGUGCCCAGUCGUGGGGGAUAACGCAGCGAAAGCUGUGCUAAUACCGCAUACGAUCUAUGGAUGAAAGCGGGGGAUCGCAAGACCUCGCGCGAUUGGAGCGGCCGAUAUCAGAUUAGCUAGUUGGUGGGGUAAAGGCCUACCAAGGCGACGAUCUGUAGCUGGUCUGAGAGGACGACCAGCCACACUGGAACUGAGACACGGUCCAGACUCCUACGGGAGGCAGCAGUGGGGAAUUUUGGACAAUGGGCGCAAGCCUGAUCCAGCAAUGCCGCGUGCAGGAUGAAGGCCU